CUUCCUCCAUCUUAAAAGCCAGCUUCUGCAA
RNAcentral lists this non-coding RNA (31 nucleotides) under Homo sapiens (human). The record is from RNAcentral. Lineage: Eukaryota; Metazoa; Chordata; Mammalia; Primates; Hominidae.